AUUAGGCAGUAUGUGUGUAUGGAUGUAGGUAUUAGGCAGUGUGUAUUUAUGGAUGUAUGUAUUAGGCAGUGUGUGUGUAUGGAUGUAGGUAUUAGGCAGUGUGUGUGUAUGGAUGUAGGUAUUAGGCAGUGUGUGUGUAUGGAUGUAGGUAUUAGGCAGUGUGUGUGUAUGAAUGUAGGUAUUAGGCAGUGUGUGUGUAUGAAUGUAGGUAUUAGGCAGUGUGUGUGUGUAUGAAUGUAGGUAUUAGGCAUUAUGUGUGUAUGGAUGUAGGUAUUAGGCAGUAUGUGUGUAUGGAUGUAGGUAUUAGGCAGUAUGUGUGU
Pelobates cultripes (western spadefoot toad) is the source of this 320-nucleotide non-coding RNA. NCBI's taxonomy places the organism in Eukaryota, Metazoa, Chordata, Amphibia, Anura, Pelobatidae. The record is from the annotation of a GenBank genome assembly.